AUGUCUCGCUGCUUUCUUACUGUGAUUGGAUUUGGUGUUCGUGUGGAAGUAUACAAUCGUAAGUGGCAAACUAACUGAAUCAAGGAUGGAGAUAGAAAUACUUCUUUCUUUCAUAGAGCCAUACUUAAAUGAAGGAGAAGGAACACUAUUGUCUAUGUCAAAGAUGAGAACAAUAUUAUUCACUAUAUGCCAAAGCAAAUCAGUAAUACUUUUGUGAGCUACUUUAUUAAUUGUGGCAGGCCUUACUUAGACUCACAACUUCCUCAACAUAACAAUGACUACACAUACUCGAUGCCGGACAAACAAGAAAUAUGGAACACCCUCAAUGAGAUGAAGAGGAAUGCAUCGCCAGGGCCUGAUGGAUUCAACGUCGAGUUCUACCUUGCCACUUGGAGUUGGAUUGGAGAUGAUGUAACAAAUCUGGUAAGAACUUUUUUCGACACGGGGAUCAUGCCAGCACACAUCAAUGAUACUCACAUUGUUUUGAUCCCCAAGAAACUAGUCUCCUUGGUGCCAGCUGACUAUAGACCGAUUAGUCUUUGCAAUGCAGUAUACAAACUCAUUGCAAAAUCUCUCGCCAAUAGAAUAAAGCCUCAUCUUCCGGAUUACGUGCAUCCUUCACAACAAGCUUUUAUUGAAGGGCGUUGUAUUAGAAAUAAUAUCAUUAUAGCCUAA
RNAcentral lists this ribosomal RNA (675 nucleotides) under Triticum aestivum (bread wheat). Its description in RNAcentral is "partial small subunit ribosomal RNA". The record is from RNAcentral. Lineage: Eukaryota; Viridiplantae; Streptophyta; Magnoliopsida; Poales; Poaceae.